GCCUAAAAUCAUUGCCAGCAUUGUGUUUUCCUCUGUCAAAAAAAGAAAACAUUUUGGCGAGGGUAAAAAAACGAACUUUUCCUCUGAUUUAUUCCACUUUACUCAGGCAUAAUGACAGAUACAACACUUCUGACACUUGAAACACAUUCUCUGAAGUCUCUAGAUGUCCAAGGACACCAAGAACAUGCAUAUAACCUUUAGUAAAGUGUAGUAAUUCCUCAUUUACUUUGGGUAUGUCUUUUAGGCGUUUUUUUCCCUAAAAUAGGCUCAGGGCUUGUUGGUUAGUUUCUUUAUAUAUUUACAUAUUUAUUUACUCAUUCUUUAUCCUUUUACACACUUAUUAAUCAAACUAUUUUUUCUUAUAAUUCAUUGACUUAUUUAUGUAUUUACCAAUUUAUUCAUUGACUUCUUGACUCUUUUACUUCUUUAUUUACUAACUUCUUCAACAACUGGCUGAUUUAUUAUUAACUUUUUUUUUGUUGGCUUACUUAUUCACUGACAUGUUUAUUAUCUUGUUUAUUUACGGUUUUCUGUAUUUUUUAUCUCGCUCAUCUUGUAUUUACAGUUAAUAUGAAUUUCUUAGCUCACUUUUGACUUAUUGAUCCAUUUACUUACGAACAGUAUUCGAGGAUCAAUGAUGUUGUGAUCUCAGGUCUAAAGACUAAACCCAUAUCUUAUGCCAAAUCUGUGGGGAAGGUGACAGAGGAAAACAUGUCAGAAGAAGAUCAGGCAACAGUAGAAGAGCAGGUAGUUUCCUUUCUGGAAACCAGAAAGAUUACUAUGGACCGCAGUUUUAUAGAAGCAUGUCAUCCUCUUCCACAAAGAAAUACCACCCAACCUCCAGCUAUUAUCCUCAGAUUCACCAACAGAAACCAUAAGAUAUGGCUACUAAAGCAAUGGAAACAAUUAAGAGGAACAAAUGUAUAUGUAAAUGAACACCUGACCAAAAGAAAUGCUGACAUUGCAAAGAAAGCACGGUUCCUUCGUAAACAGGGAAAAAUCCAGUCAACCUGGACCUCCAGCUGCAAGAUUUUCAUAAAGCUCAACGGCUCACCAGAAGAAGCUAAGGUCAAAAUCAUUAGAGAUCUGACUGAACUAGAUGUCUACCUGUAACCGCGCCAUACUACCUGAAUGAUGAUCUAUGACUGUGUUCUUCUUUGCAUAAUCUUACAAAUUGUGCAUUAUGUCCAACCAUCUUUAUGCUGAUGGGGUGUCUACCCCCCAUGAUACGGAUCCUCUAGCCUUUAAUCCAUUUGACCUAAACUCAGAUAACAGAGGUAUCUACGAUGAAUUUUUCAACCCAGAUAUAAAUCUCUCAAACUCAAACAAUGUAAUUCGAUCAUGUAAAUACUAUUCUGAAGAUCAGUUCAAUGAUCUGUCCCGUACUCUUGCUCCUGAUGACUCUUAUAUCCUAAAGACUUUUCAGCGUGGCAAUUAAAUGUUCGCAGUUUACCAAAAAAUUUUGACAACCUAAAAAUAUACUUAUCAACCCUAACUUUUUCUUUCUCAGUAAUGGCACUCUCAGAAACCUGGCUAAAGGAUGAUAUCACAGAUCUUUACGCUAUAUCUCAGUAUAAUGCUAUUCAUUCAUGCAGAAGAAAUAAGGUCGGAGGAGGAGUUUCCCUAUAUGUGCUCAAAGACUACAACUUUACCACUAGAAAAGAAAUCUCAGAACCUCUAGAAAACAUACGAGUGGAAUCUGUAUUUAUCGAAAUCUCUUCUUGUCGUCCCCUUCAUGGGAAAAAUAUUAUAAUUGGGUGUGUCUACAGACCUCCUGACACUGACCCAAUUUCAUUCAAUGAGGCUCUUUACUCCUCCCUUGAGUUUAUAACCAAGGAGCAUAAACUGUGUGUUCUUAUGGGUGAUUUCAAUAUCGACCUGCUUAAGAGUGAAUUACCCUCUACCGUUGACUUUCUGAACAAUCUUUACUCAACCUACUUCUUUCCACUAAUUCUCAAACCAUCCAGAAUCACCAAAUCAUCAGCUUCUCUCAUUGACAAUAUCAUAAUCAAUUCACUUGACUAUGAAAUCACCUCUGGGUUGUUAAUAUCUGACAUCUCCGACCACCUCCCCGUAUUCCAAAUCAUACAUACUAAAGGAAAUUAUAAACGCAAAAACUCUGACUACCUGCAAAGCAAAUCUCGCAUCUACAAUAAAAAGAACAUGGAAUCCUUUAAAUCUUCCAUCCGUACAGUGUCCUGGAAUGAGGUCCUCAACUCAUCAGAUGUUAAUGAAGCUUACCAGCUAUUUUUAACUACAUUUGAAUCAAUUCUCGAAGCUAGCUUUCCGCUAGUCACCGCUAUGAAGAGUAACUCAUCCAAAGGAAAACCCUGGAUGACGGGUGAACUAAAAAAGUACUCUCGUAAAAAAAAAAAAAACUAUAUCGGAAAGCUAUUAACAAUCCUACUCCUGAAAAUAUUGUAAAAUAUAAAAAAUAUAAAAAUAAAUUUACUGCAUCCUUAAGGAAGGUUAAAAAAACAUAUUAUGCUGAUAAGUUUACCCAAGCUGCCAAUAACAUUAAAGCAACCUGGAAUCUCAUCAACCAAUUACUUAAUCAAAAAAAAACUACUGCUACUGUAGCUGUUGAAAUGAUGGGAAAGGAUGGGCCUCUACAUGACCAGAGUGACAUAGCAGAGAGUUUUAAUGAUUUCUUUAUAAACGUCAGUACUUCCUUGGCUUCUAGCAUGAAAGACUCAGAUGUAAAUCCCACAAGUUUCAUGAAAGGCACAUUUUCAACACUCUCUAGUUUUGAUCCUCCCAGUUUAGAAGAGGUCCAUGACAUUGUUAGGAAUUUAAAGGACUCUGCUCAGGGUCACGAUGGUAUUAAAAGCAGUCUUGUCAAAGAAUCUAUAGAUUAAAUCAUUCACCCUUUAACCCACAUUCUCUCUUUAUCCCUUCUGUCUGGUAUUGUCCCUCGAGAUCUAAAAAUUGCCAAAGUUACUCCAAUAUUUAAAUCAGGCAAUACAAGAGAUUUUGGCAACUAUCGCCCAAUAUCUGUUCUACCCUGUUUUUCCAAAAUCUUGGAAAAACUAGUCUAUGCGAGAAUCUCCGACCACUUGACGGUUAAUAAUGUUUUGUAUAAUCACCAAUACGGGUUCCGCAAAAAACACUCAACUGAGCAUGCAUUGCUGCAACUUGUUAAUACUGUUUCCUCUGCUCUAGAUGGGAAAAAAAUUGCCCUUGGUGUCUUUCUUGAUUUAAGCAAAGCUUUUGACACUGUCGAUCACAAAAUCCUCAUUUCAAAGCUUAACAGAUAUGGAAUCCAGAAUAUUGCCCUCAACUGGCUGAUCAGUUAUCUAGAUAAUAGAGAACAGUUUGUUCAUCUAAAUGGUGCUUCAUCCACUAAAUCCAGUAUUCUCUUUGGGGUCCUUCAGGGAUC
This is a non-coding RNA of Xyrichtys novacula (pearly razorfish), 3379 nucleotides long. The record is from the annotation of a GenBank genome assembly. NCBI's taxonomy places the organism in Eukaryota, Metazoa, Chordata, Actinopteri, Labriformes, Labridae.